CUUCCGAUGUCUGCUGCGGGCAGAUGAAGUGAAUGUGCGUAUCGAUACCGCCUGCUGUGAUGAUCUUGUUCUCUCCAGCGACGACAUCUGUGCAGCUGCCGACCACCAUGUUCGGCGUUACGCCGUCCAUGACAUCUGGGUUGCCCGCCUUGCCAAUACCCACGAUCAUGCCGUGCUUGACACCGAUGUCAGCCUUAUAAAUUCCGCUCCAGUCGACAAUGAGCGCAUUGGUCACAACCAUGUCGAGCGAUUCCGAGUCUGGGCGGCCCGUAGCCUGCCCCAUGCCCUCACGCAG
Small RNA from Verticillium longisporum, 295 nucleotides. It matches the Rfam family "5' ureB small RNA". Lineage: Eukaryota; Fungi; Ascomycota; Sordariomycetes; Glomerellales; Plectosphaerellaceae. The record is from Rfam.